GUACACUCCUGCGGGAGGCAGCAGUGGGGAAUUUUGGACAAUGGGCGAAAGCCUGAUCCAGCAAUGCCGCGUGAGUGAAGACGGCCUUCGGGUUGUAAAGCUCUUUUGUCAGGGAAGAAACGGUGAAAGCUAAUAUCUUUUGCUAAUGACGGUACCUGAAGAAUAAGCACCGGCUAACUACGUGCCAGCAGCCGCGGUAAUACGUAGGGUGCAAGCGUUAAUCGGAAUUACUGGGCGUAAAGCGUGCGCAGGCGGUUUUGUAAGUCUGAUGUGAAAUCCCCGGGCUCAACCUGGGAAUUGCAUUGGAGACUGCAAGGCUAGAAUCUGGCAGAGGGGGGUAGAAUUCCACGUGUAGCAGUGAAAUGCGUAGAUAUGUGGAGGAACACCGAUGGCGAAGGCAGCCCCCUGGGUCAAGAUUGACGCUCAUGCACGAAAGCGUGGGGAGCAAACAGGAUUAGAAACCCGAGUAGUCCCAUGAU
RNAcentral lists this ribosomal RNA (479 nucleotides) under uncultured organism. RNAcentral describes it as "partial 16S ribosomal RNA". It matches the Rfam family "Bacterial small subunit ribosomal RNA", at positions 331 to 801 of the family's 1533-position model. The record is from RNAcentral.